UACGGCACCUGCUUGGCGAGGAUGGGCCCAAAGCCGGAGUAGAACGCGUUGACGACGCCCUCCUCACCGGCCAUCUUGGUCAUCGCGCCGAGCAUGGACGAGGAGUACGAGGGGUUGGACACGAGGCGAAUGCGGGUGGCCUCGAGCGGGCAGAGGAAGAUGUCGGCGAUGAACUCGGCUGCGGCGGAUGCGCCGAGGUAGAUGGAGUUGCGGUUAUCCCAGGUCUGCUGCGGGGUCAUGGAGUUGGCGGCCUGGAUCUUGAAGUAUUCGACGCCUCCGAACUUGAACCAGCCCUGGACGAAGUAGCCGAAGGCGGUGGGGCCGAGGCCGGUGAGAAGCGCGCCCGCGCCCUCCUCCGCGAUGACCUUGUUGAAGCCCUGCAUCAUGCCGGUGUACUUGGUGGGCUCGAGCUGGAUGCGGGUCUUGACGACGUCCACGGGGGUGAGCGCGCCGUGGGUCACGGAGCAGCAGAUCCCGCCCGCGAGCGCACCCUUGAGGAAGUAGUCCAGACCGUACUCCUGCUGUGACGCGGCCAUGAAACCCGCGGCGGGGUGCUGAAAGGUCAUCGAGGGGGCGAAGCCGCCCGCGGCGGGCGCGGCGCCAGCCUUGGCGGCGACCACCGCGGAGGCGGCGGUGGGGGUGUAAAGGGAGGACGGGA
Molecule: long non-coding RNA, 658 nt
Filed under: Micromonas commoda
Lineage: Eukaryota; Viridiplantae; Chlorophyta; Mamiellophyceae; Mamiellales; Mamiellaceae
Description: long non-coding RNA (MCOM_LNC000194)
Source: RNAcentral